Molecule: long non-coding RNA, 175 nt
Organism: Haliotis rufescens (red abalone)
Lineage: Eukaryota; Metazoa; Mollusca; Gastropoda; Lepetellida; Haliotidae
Exons: 3
Source: RefSeq, a predicted model, not a curated record
GGAAGGAGACGGUGGCUGACUCCAUAUCCAUCUGGUACGAUGUCGGCGGCAUCGUAGGGGGAACUAUAGGAGGUUUUAUAUCUGACAGGUUUGAGAGGAGAGCAAUAGUUGUCAUCCCGAUGCUGGGGCUUGCCAUUCCAUCACUGUUUAUAUAUGGCAGUAAGUACAUAGCAGG